This 74-nucleotide transfer RNA is filed under the name Monostroma nitidum. Its description in RNAcentral is "tRNA-His". It matches the Rfam family "tRNA". Rfam says of the family: Transfer RNA (tRNA) molecules are approximately 80 nucleotides in length. Their secondary structure includes four short double-helical elements and three loops (D, anti-codon, and T loops). The record is from RNAcentral. Lineage: Eukaryota; Viridiplantae; Chlorophyta; Ulvophyceae; Ulvales; Monostromataceae. RNAcentral also lists the same sequence under 1 other name.
GGCGUACAUAGUGUAAUUGGAUCGCACAAGGCUUUGUGACAGCCUUAGAACAAGUUCGAACCUUGUUGCACGCC